AGAGUUUGAUCCUGGCUCAGGAUGAACGCUAGCGGCAGGCUUAACACAUGCAAGUCGAGGGGCAGCAUGUCCAGCAAUGGAUGAUGGCGACCGGCGGAAGGGUGCGUAACGCGUGAGCAACAUGCCCUAUACAGGGAGAUACACCAGGGAAACUUGGUCUAAUAUCCCAUAGCAUUCAUUGAAGGCAUCUUUAAUGAAUUAAAGCUUCGGUGGUAUAGGAUUGGCUCGCGUGACAUUAGCCAGAUGGUGAGGUAACGGCUCACCAUAGCAAUGAUGUCUAGGGGUUUUGAGAGGAAGGCCCCCCACACUGGGACUGAGACACGGCCCAGACUCCUACGGGAGGCAGCAGUGAGGAAUAUUGGACAAUGGAUGGAAAUCUGAUCCAGCCAUGCCGCGUGCAGGAAGACGGCCUUAUGGGUUGUAAACUGCUUUUAUACGGGAGCAAUAAGGGUUACGAGUAAUCCGAUGAGAGUACUGUAUGAAUAAGGAUCGGCUAACUCCGUGCCAGCAGCCGCGGUAAUACGGAGGAUCCGAGCGUUAUCCGGAAUUAUUGGGUUUAAAGGGUGCGUAGGCGGCCAUUUAAGUCAGCGGUGAAAUUUUGCAGCUUAACUGUAACAGUGCCGUUGAUACUGUUUGGCUAGGAUUUGGUUGUAGUGUGCGGAAUGUGUGGUGUAGCGGUGAAAUGCUUAGAUAUCACACAGAACGCCGAUUGCGAAGGCAGCAUACUAAGUUUAUACUGACGCUGAUGCACGAAAGCGUGGGGAUCAAACAGGAUUAGAUACCCUGGUAGUCCACGCCGUAAACUAUGAUUACUCGUUGUUUGCGAUAUACUGUAAGCGACUGCGCGAAAGCAUUAAGUAAUCCACCUGGGGAGUACGUUGGCAACAAUGAAACUCAAAGGAAUUGACGGGGGCCCGCACAAGCGGAGGAACAUGUGGUUUAAUUCGAUGAUACGCGAGGAACCUUACCUGGGCUUAAAUGGGAAGUGACAGUUUUGGAAACAAAAUUUUCUUCGGACACUUUUCAAGGUGCUGCAUGGUUGUCGUCAGCUCGUGCCGUGAGGUGUCGGGUUAAGUCCCAUAACGAGCGCAACCCUCGUCGAUAGUUGCCAGCAUGUAAUGAUGGGGACUCUAUCGAGACUGCCGGUGUAAACCGUGAGGAAGGUGGGGAUGACGUCAAAUCAGCACGGCCCUUACGUCCAGGGCUACACACGUGUUACAAUGGUCGGUACAGUGGGCAGCUACUCAGCGAUGAGAUGCUAAUCUUUAAAACCGAUCUCAGUUCGGAUCGGAGUCUGCAACUCGACUCCGUGAAGCUGGAUUCGCUAGUAAUCGCAUAUCAGCCAUGAUGCGGUGAAUACGUUCCCGGGCCUUGUACACACCGCCCGUCA
RNAcentral lists this ribosomal RNA (1390 nucleotides) under uncultured bacterium. Its description in RNAcentral is "16S ribosomal RNA". It matches the Rfam family "Bacterial small subunit ribosomal RNA". The record is from RNAcentral.